Molecule: ribosomal RNA, 492 nt
Filed under: uncultured bacterium
Lineage: Bacteria
Description: partial 16S ribosomal RNA
Rfam family: Bacterial small subunit ribosomal RNA
Source: RNAcentral
GAUGAACGCUAGCUACAGGCUUAACACAUGCAAGUCGAGGGGAAACGGCAUCGAAAGCUUGCUUUUGAUGGGCGUCGACCGGCGCACGGGUGAGUAACGCGUAUCCAACCUGCCCAUCACUUGGGAAUAACCUUGCGAAAGUAAGACUAAUGCCCAAUGACAUCCCACGAAGGCAUCCGAAUGGGAUUAAAGAUUUAUCGGUGAUGGAUGGGGAUGCGUCUGAUUAGCUUGUUGGCGGGGUGACGGCCCACCAAGGCAACGAUCAGUAGGGGUUCUGAGAGGAAGGUCCCCCACAUUGGAACUGAGACACGGUCCAAACUCCUACGGGAGGCAGCAAUGAGGAAUAUUGGUCAAUGGGCGAGAGCCUGAACCAGCCAAGUAGCGUGCAGGAUGACGGCCCUAUGGGUUGUAAACUGCUUUUAUAAGGGAAUAAAGUGGGUCACGUGUGACUUUUUGCAUGUACCUUAUGAAUAAGGACCGGCUAAUUCCGUG